AGAGGGGUUUAGCCACUCAUAUUUACAACAAAAUGAAAGGAAGUGAAUUUAAACAUUAGAAACAAAAAAAAGAAAACACCUAAACGCUCCAACGAUCCAAGUUGGAUAGCAAGCACGUCCAAGCACUUUCCUUCCCUUCCUUUGCUACGGCACAAGGUGUUGGUGAGUGUUUGAAGGUUUGUUUAUAUGGAGGAAUGGCUGAAUGUGUUUAGGUUGGAUGGAGGUCAUGGCAAGGAAAGGGAAAUGAAGGUGCAUGGAAUUGUGUUUUUGUUGUGGGAAUGUGUAGAAUGGUUAAGAAGAAAAGACUCUGCCUUGCGGCAGAAUGUGUCUUCCUCCCUUCUCCCUAAACUGUCCCCCUAAAUGUGUCUUUGGAUGGAUAUAUUUAUAGGCUAGGGAGAGGAUGUAGUGGGUGGUGGUAUUGAGUGGAUGUAGUGGUAUGUGAAUGUGUUGGGUGGUUGAAAUGAGUGGAUGUGUUGGGUGAAAUGAGUGGAUGUAGUGGUAGGUGAAUGUGUUGGGUGGUUGUAAUGAGUGGAUGUGUUAGGUGAAAUGAGUGGAUGUAGUGGUAGGUGAAUGGAUGUGUUGGGUGAAAUGAGUGGAUGUAGUGGGUGGUGAAUGUGUUGGGUGGUUGUAAUGAGUGGAUGUGUUGGGUGAAAUGAGUGUGCUAAAAUGGUUAUUUAUAGGGAGAGGAUGAUGCACAAACUUCAAAUUUCGUCCAUUCCUUUUGCUCCAAGCAUAUGUUAUCCAUUCCAUGCCCAAAAAUGCUCCAAAAUGCACUUCUUUGCCACAUUAACCCUUUGGACCUACAAACACACGAAAAUAGCUUAAAAUACUAAAAUAAAUAUGAACUAACAACAUAAAUGCCAAGAAACAAGCUAACUAAGUCGCAUAAAUAUGCUCCUAUCAAAUUCCCCCACACUUAGCUUUUGCUAGUCCUCGAGCAAAACAAAAGAAACAAAACAAAACACAACCUAGACUUUCAAACAAUUGCCUCAGGGAUUUUUAAUAAAACAUGACGUGUUAAAAAUCAUCAUUCCCACAGAUUUUGGUCAUCCUUACACUUAAGCCCAUACUUAAUCACAGUCACCACUUACUAGUUCACAAUUAACCAAUUAAAAUGAUGUUUUGAAUGUAGUAACAUGCCUUAGAGAAUUUGCUCAAUUCCUUACAAGAUACUCUCUAUUUUCACACACAUUUUCUAACUACAACCCUACACUACUAUAUGUGAGAAGAUUCAUGUAAACAUGAAACAUUAGGACUCACAUAUGUUAUAACAAAGAAAGCAAUUUUCUGGAGUUAUUAAGCAUGUUUAGAUAUGAUUUCAUGAAUGGAAUGCUACUACUUAGAUGCGAGAACCAGUGACACCAUAUGCUCAUUGUUGGAAAUGUGCCUUAAAACCAAUCAUAUGAUGAUACUUUACGGACAUUUCACAUGUUAAACUAAUGUAGUUUAAUAUCAAGGGCAAAGAUUAUUGUUUUAAGCCGUCUCAUAUAAAUGUUAUAUGCUUAAACGAUAAGUCCAAGGAAUAUGUAAUUAGGAGAAUGUAAUUUAAACAAGUUAGAUUCAUGAGACCAUUCUCUUUCGUAUACAUAUCCUAAACGUUCCUUAUCAUUGGAUUGCCAAUUGGGCAUUGACAAUCCGUUAAGAUCAGUACAUGUUAUGUCUUCUCUUAAAGAAAGUGACUAGUCUUGAGUCAUUGGUGUGAUUGACACCAAGACAAGCAUGUAGGUGCUCAAUAGAGAAUGAGUCCACUGAACACGAU
Molecule: long non-coding RNA, 1759 nt
Filed under: Malus domestica (apple)
Lineage: Eukaryota; Viridiplantae; Streptophyta; Magnoliopsida; Rosales; Rosaceae
Description: long non-coding RNA (MDOM_LNC018716)
Source: RNAcentral